GGGCGGGUAGCUCAGUUGGUAGAGCAGUAAUUACCUUUCCUUAAUUUAUUUACUCACCUGCAAAGGUCGAAGAAUUAAGGGUUACCGGACGGGAGUUCAAGUCUCCCCCCGUCCA
Molecule: transfer RNA, 115 nt
Filed under: [Limnothrix rosea] IAM M-220
Lineage: Bacteria; Bacillati; Cyanobacteriota; Cyanophyceae; Chroococcales; Geminocystaceae
Description: Oscillatoria rosea IAM M-220 tRNA
Rfam family: tRNA
About the family: Transfer RNA (tRNA) molecules are approximately 80 nucleotides in length.
Source: Rfam by way of RNAcentral